GAGACUGGGGAUAACACCUGGGAAACAGAUGCUAAUACCCGGAUAACAACACUAGACGCAUGUCUAGAGUUUAAAAGAUGGGUUCUGCUAUCACUCUUGGGAUGGGACCCUGCGGUGCAUUAGCUAGUUGGUAAGGUAACGGGCUUACCAAGGCAAUGAUGCAUAGCCCGAGUUGAGAGACUGAUCGGGCCACAUUGGGGACUGAGACACGGGCCCAAAACUCCUACGGGGAGGCAGCAGUAGGGAAUCCUCCACAAUGGACGCAAGUCUGAUGGAGCAACGCCGCGUGAGUGAAGAAGGGUUUCGGCUCGUAAAGCUCUGUUGGUAGUGAAGAAAGAUAGAGGUAGUAACUGGCCUUUAUUUGACGGUAAUUACUUAGAAGUCACGACUAACUACGUGCCAGCAGCCGCGGUAAU
Molecule: ribosomal RNA, 416 nt
Filed under: uncultured Lactobacillus sp.
Lineage: Bacteria; Bacillati; Bacillota; Bacilli; Lactobacillales; Lactobacillaceae
Description: bacterial SSU rRNA
Rfam family: Bacterial small subunit ribosomal RNA
Source: RNAcentral